Molecule: non-coding RNA, 730 nt
Organism: Camelina sativa (false flax)
Lineage: Eukaryota; Viridiplantae; Streptophyta; Magnoliopsida; Brassicales; Brassicaceae
Source: RefSeq, a predicted model, not a curated record
UCCUCGACACUACACUUAGAAAAAAAACUCUCACUCUCGAAACUCUUUCAGAGAAACUCUCACUCUCAUUUCUUCGAAUCGCGAUGACUCUGUCCAGCCAAACCUCCGACUGUCGUCUUUCACGUCCCGUCAAUUUGAAUCUGCCUGACCCACAAAAUGAAUCUCUGUCGAUGAUUUAUAUUGACUCUUCCUCAUUUCAUAUCUCGUCUCUGCUCUCAAAUCCCAAGCUUCCCCUGUAAUUUGAACCCCUUAUUUUACGUUUCAACCUCGAAAAAUCCAAACUUUUCUGUAAUUUGAAGACUUUGUGAUUCUUGACUUUCAUCUUUGUUUAAUGGACAAUUAGGGUUUUCACGGAGCUUCCCGGAUCUUUGAAAUCGACUUUGUUCACAGAGUCACCUCAGUUUAGAGUGGAUUUGGGAUCAGGAAAACUUUUGGAGAAGUUGAAGAACAUGUCAAGAUAGGUCGAAGAUGAUGUUUGGCUUACAGAGAAAGCCACAGCCAAGCACACUCUUAGACAAAGCUCAUGAUGUACAAAUUUAUUUCAGAGCGGAAGGUACUUGAAGAAAUGAGUUGCUCUGGAAACAUUAGUGGGAACUACUUAGGCUUCAUUGCUCAAUGAUGGAAUACAAAGCAAUCGAGAAUGUGCAACAAACCAUUUAUUAUGUAGCUGUUCAUUUUUUUUCUUCUAAUUAUGUUUUUUGUGGAGGAUGGAGUAUUCUUAUUUUUAAUU